This 650-nucleotide unclassified non-coding RNA is filed under the name Bombus terrestris (buff-tailed bumblebee). RNAcentral's name for it is "misc RNA ENSBTSG00005038782.1". The record is from RNAcentral. Lineage: Eukaryota; Metazoa; Arthropoda; Insecta; Hymenoptera; Apidae.
AAUAAUCAAAAUGAAAUGGAGUCCUAUCUUUUAAGCUUUUCCUUAAACUGACAGAAGCAAGGGAUCUUACUAGAAACAAUAGAAGUAUUAACAAUUAUUCAAACGGAGACAGAAUUUUUAACAGAUUUUAAGAACCUUGUUCAUGAGAUCCAGCAUUGCCAGGUAUAAAAAGUACUGGUAUUCCUGAGAAGUACAUCCUUCUAAGCUUCUCGGUAACAAAACCUUCUCCAUAGGCGUAUAAUCUGUAUCUUGGAUAUUGUUCUUGUAUCUCAUUAUCCAAAGAGAUUCUCUAAUAUUUAUGGUCAUAUAAGCAAGUCUGGACACUCCUAUAUCGUAAACAUACAAGAAACCGUCCGAAAAUUGAGUCAAGAAAAAUCAAUAUGGAAGACACGAAGGUUCUCGUUCUGCACAUGCGUGACGUGCUGUGAAUGUUUCAGACCGAGGCAGAGAUACUCUACUCAUAUCUGUCUGUCUUGCAGAACGAGACCCUUCAUGUAUUCCAUGUUGAUUUUUCACAACUCAAUUUUUGAGCGGUUUUCUCUAGCGAAUGUAGAGACCUAUUUGUAUAGGAUAGAGUGGAAAUUGUAGUAAAACUGGAUGGGAUUAUUGUACAUGAAAAAAUAAAAGAAAAUUUAGUAUAACAUUUUUCA